Molecule: ribosomal RNA, 253 nt
Filed under: uncultured bacterium
Lineage: Bacteria
Description: partial 16S ribosomal RNA
Rfam family: Bacterial small subunit ribosomal RNA
Source: RNAcentral
UACAGAGGUCCCAAGCGUUGUUCGGAUUCAUUGGGCGUAAAGGGUGCGUAGGCGGCGCGGUAAGUCUGAUGUGAAAGCCCGGGGCUCACCCCCGGAAGGGCAUUGGAAACUGGCGGACUCGAGUCCCGGAGAGGAGGGUGGAAUUCCUGGUGUAGCGGUGAAAUGCGUAGAUAUCAGGAGGAACACCGGUGGCGAAGGCGGCCCUCUGGACGGUGACUGACGCUGAGACGCAAAAGCGUGGGGAGCAAACAGG